RNAcentral lists this ribosomal RNA (253 nucleotides) under uncultured bacterium. Its description in RNAcentral is "partial 16S ribosomal RNA". It matches the Rfam family "Bacterial small subunit ribosomal RNA", at positions 524 to 776 of the family's 1533-position model. The record is from RNAcentral.
UACGUAGGUGGCAAGCGUUGUUCGGAAUUAUUGGGCGUAAAGGGCGCGUAGGCGGUUUGUUAAGUCGGCUGUGAAAGCCCGGGGCUCAACCCCGGAGGGUCAGCCGAUACUGGCAGACUAGAGUACGGAAGAGGUAGCUGGAAUUCCCGGUGUAGCGGUGAAAUGUGUAGAGAUCGGGAGGAACACCGGUGGGGAAGGCGGGUCUCGGGGCAUAUCCUGACGCUGAGGCGCGAAAGCGUGGGGAGCAAACGGG